CAUUUUUCCAGCCAUACAAAUGUUUUCUGAUCAUAUCUGGACAUAGAAAGUGUAAAUUUUCCUGAACGUUAUCUAAUGCACUAGAUCAUGCUAGGGAACGAGCUUCCGCCACAUCUUUCAGGUUUGUGCCUGUCGGCUGAAGUUCCUUGUGAUGGUGCAGCUGCAGGUGCAUGAGUAAGAUAUCAGAGCUCUGAGCGAAAUACAGGUCGGGUCUCGUCCCAGGACAGACUGUAGUGCCUCAAGGCCCAGAAAAGAGCAGGAACACGAUGUCCCCAAUAUCCCAAGGAGAAAGAAUGCCUCCAGUGCUGGACUGAAAAUGUAGGGGACAUUUCCCAUGACACAAUUCCAGCUAUUUCCUGGAGCUCUGAUGCUCUAUACACAAACGGACCCUGAGGAACGCCAAACAGCAGGCACCACAGCAAUAUCAGACUGUUCUAGUGUAACAGAGGUCA
Long non-coding RNA from Thalassophryne amazonica, 452 nucleotides. RefSeq lists it as uncharacterized. The record is from RefSeq and is a predicted model, not a curated record. Lineage: Eukaryota; Metazoa; Chordata; Actinopteri; Batrachoidiformes; Batrachoididae. The transcript has 3 exons.